RNAcentral lists this ribosomal RNA (1441 nucleotides) under metagenome. RNAcentral's name for it is "bacterial SSU rRNA". It matches the Rfam family "Bacterial small subunit ribosomal RNA". The record is from RNAcentral.
AGAGUUUGAUCAUGGCUCAGGAUGAACGCUGGCGGUGUGUCUUAAGCAUGCAAGUCGAGCGAUCCCACCAUAUGCUUGCAUAUGGUAGGAGAGCGGCAGACGGGUGAGUAACGCGUAGGAACCUACCUCUUGGUGGGGGAUAGCCCUUCGAAAGGGGGCGUAAUCCCGCAUAAGAUCUCCGGAUGAAAGAGCAUAACUGCUCGCCGAGAGAGGGGCCUGCGUACUAUCAGCUUGUUGGUGAGGUAAUGGCUCACCAAGGCUAUGACGGUUAGGGGGUGUGAGAGCAUGACCCCCCACAAGGUCACUGAGACACGGGGCCUACACCUACGGGUGGCAGCAACUAAGAAUCUUGCGCAAUGGGCGAAAGCCUGACGCAGCGACACCGCGUGUGGGAAGAAGUAUUUCGGUAUGUAAACCACUGUGGCGAGGGAAGAAGAUCUGACGGUACCUCGCUAGAAAGCACCUGCUAACUACGUGCCAGAAGCCUCGGUAAUACGUAGGGUGCAAGCGUUAUCCGGAUUUACUGGGCGUAAAGAGUCUGUAGGUGGAGUAGUUAGUGAUGGGUUAAAGCCCUCGGCUCAACUGAGGAAAGGCUCAUCAAACUGCUAUUCUAGAAUAAGUUCGGGGAAGCUGGAAUUCUCGGUGGAGGGGUGAAAUCCGUUGAUAUCGAGAGGAACGCCAAGGGCGAAGGCAGGCUUCUGGGGCUUUAUUGACACUAAGAGACGAAAGCUAGGGUAGCAAACCGGAUUAGAGACCCGGGUAGUCCUAGCCGUAAACGAUGAAUACUAGCUGGGCCUGGUUUAUCCAGGUCUGGCGUAAGCUAACGCGUUAAGUAUUCCGCCUGGGGAGUACGGCCGCAAGGUUAAAACUCAAAGGAAUUGACGGGGGAGCGCACAACCGGUGGAGCAUGUGGUUUAAUUCGAUACGAAGCGAAGAACCUUACCUGGGCUUGACAUGUAUCUGCAAGCUCUAUGAAAGUAGAGCCGCCUACGAGGGUGAUACACAGGUGUUGCAUGGCUGUCGUCAGCUCGUGUCGUGAGACGUCCGCUUAAGUGCGGCAACGAGCGCAACCCUCGCUGUGUGUUGCAUAUCACACGGGACUGCCUUACAACAAGUAGGGAGGAAGGAGAGGACGACGUCAAGUCAGCAUGACCCUUACGUCCAGGGCUACACACAUCCUACAAUGGGGAGGACAAUGGGUUGCGACGGAGUAAUCCUGAGCUAAUCCUUAAACCUUCUCUCAGUUCAGAUUGUGGGCUGAAACUCGCCCACAUGAAGUUGGAAUCGGUAGUAAUCGCACGUCAGCAGAGUGCGGUGAAUACGUUCUCGCUCCUUGUACACACUGCCCGUCAAGCCAGCGAAGUCGGCAAUGCCCGAAGUUCUCAAAAUAUGUUGAGGCCUAAGGUAAGGUCGGCGACGAGGACUAAGUCGUAACAAGGUA